GAGUUUGAUCGUGGCUCAGAUUGAACGCUGGCGGCAUGCCUUACACAUGCAAGUCGAACGGUAACAGGUCUUCGGAUGCUGACGAGUGGCGAACGGGUGAGUAAUACAUCGGAACGUGCCCGAUCGUGGGGGGAUAACGAAGCGAAAGCUUUGCUAAUACCGCAUACGAUCUACGGAUGAAAGCAGGGGACCGCAAGGCCUUGCGCGAACGGAGCGGCCGAUGGCAGAUUAGGUAGUUGGUGGGAUAAAAGCUUACCAAGCCGACGAUCUGUAGCUGGUCUGAGAGGACGACCAGCCACACUGGGACUGAGGCACGGCCCAGACUCCUACGGGAGGCAGCAGUGGGGAAUUUUGGACAAUGGGCGAAAGCCUGAUCCAGCCAUGCCGCGUGCAGGAUGAAGGCC
RNAcentral lists this ribosomal RNA (404 nucleotides) under uncultured microorganism. RNAcentral's name for it is "bacterial SSU rRNA". It matches the Rfam family "Bacterial small subunit ribosomal RNA", at positions 9 to 416 of the family's 1533-position model. The record is from RNAcentral.